UGCGUGGACGUGGCGGAUCGACUAAAAAACGCAGCGUAAACAACGAUUUUUUUCGAAACAAAAUGAGUUCAAUAUGUUGUGCCAUAAAUGGCAUAUGCUCCGACGGGUUGCACAUGAAAAAGUGUUGAGUUUGAGAGCGUCCUGCGGGUCAAUACGGUAUCCAUGUGUUUCUGUCGUGUUUGAAAUAGUUCAUAAAGGGGAAUACUUACUACAACAAGAAACAAUCUAUAUAACAUAAUUGGCUGCAUGGAACUACAUACACAUCUUCUAGUUGAUGAACACACACAAUACAUUUUCCUGUGCACUCAACUCUGUCUCGAAUAAUGCUACAAAAGUGCUUUCCAUUUUGGGCGUAUUAAAAAUUCCACACGCGUUUUGGGUGAGUCUCCACAUGAAUAUGUACGAGUCUGUCUGUACAUCUGUACUGCAUCACAUUAACACUUCCCAUUGGACGGUAGAUGACUUCAUUUUCAGGUCAUGCACGCCAUAUGCAACAUGAGUCGUCUUGCCACAGAUGUCAGUGCUGUACUUGCAGUUGCACCCGCUCAUGCUCAGGGCUGGCUCCUCAUGAUUUACUACAAGCAGAUGAUUUAAUGUAACCGCAUAUACACACGUUCACGAUACACGAACAUGGGGCAGACCACUUCAGAUGCAUACAAGAACGAGAACAGCCCAGCCCAGACACCCCACAUGUGUUGCAACUGAAGCGUUGCAGCAGUUGAAAGAAGAACCCCGAGACGGCAGUGACGGUGUCCUCCAUCUUGAAAACUGAUGCUCCGCUGAAGCGGCAGAGGAUUCCAUUUAAAAAUGCGAGCAGCGAGUGGAUGAUGAAACAGCAAAUAAACCAAAUCUAAAUGAAAUCUUACGUAUACGCCAACCCUUUCCCGGAAGAGUGCGUAAAUCCGGGUGUCAACGAGCUGCGACCUUGCCGAGAGAUUCCCUUCAGAUGCUGGCCAAAAUCCGACGUCAAAACAAAUCGUUAAAAUGCAAUAAAACUCCCAGAGAUGUGGGAGUCCACAUCCAUAUGCAAUCACUAAACAAGGGCCAAGGCAAAUGCAUUCGAAUAAAAUUUUACCACCAUUUCCUCGAGCAUCAUCAGCAGCAGGAGCAUCAUCAACCUAACGGCGGCAACAUCCGAGGCACCUCAUAAAAGUAAUGACGUCUAUGGCCCAUCAGCAGCUGAUAGAUACAUUUGUAUCUGCGCACGGGGGCCAAGGGGAUAUCACAAUAAUUAUGGCAUACGUCACGGAACUUGGGUUUUUAUAUCUUUUAUAUUGAUUGUCAUCGUGUCACACUAACAGAUCGUAAAAAAGUCGUAAAAUCCGGAGACUCUCGCUCUG
Long non-coding RNA from Drosophila subobscura, 1340 nucleotides. RefSeq lists it as uncharacterized. The record is from RefSeq and is a predicted model, not a curated record. NCBI's taxonomy places the organism in Eukaryota, Metazoa, Arthropoda, Insecta, Diptera, Drosophilidae. The transcript is spliced from 3 exons.